This 414-nucleotide ribosomal RNA is filed under the name Salmonella enterica. RNAcentral's name for it is "partial 23S ribosomal RNA". It matches the Rfam family "Bacterial large subunit ribosomal RNA", at positions 1343 to 1757 of the family's 2925-position model. Lineage: Bacteria; Pseudomonadati; Pseudomonadota; Gammaproteobacteria; Enterobacterales; Enterobacteriaceae. The record is from RNAcentral.
GACCAAGGGUUCCUGUCCAACGUUAAUCGGGGCAGGGUGAGUCGACCCCUAAGGCGAGGCCGAAAGGCGUAGUCGAUGGGAAACGGGUUAAUAUUCCCGUACUUGGUGUUACUGCGAAGGGGGGACGGAGAAGGCUAUGUUGGCCGGGCGACGGUAGUCCCGGUUUAAGCGUGUAGGUGUGUGUUCCAGGUAAAUCCGGUUCACUUUAACACUGAGGCGUGAUGACGAGGCACCACGGUGCUGAAGCAACAAAUGCCCUGCUUCCAGGAAAAGCCUCUAAGCAUCAGGUAACAUCAAAUCGUACCCCAAACCGACACAGGUGGUCAGGUAGAGAAUACCAAGGCGCUUGAGAGAACUCGGGUGAAGGAACUAGGCAAAAUGGUGCCGUAACUUCGGGAGAAGGCACGCUGACAC